GAGGAGGUGCUCCUGGAGAAAGUCCCUACGAUGACACCCCUUCUACCCUCCUGCGCCCUGUAACCAAGAGCCUCAGCCCUUCCAAUUUCUCAGGCUCCCACACAUUGCAUCUACCCACUGGUCCUCCUGACCUGAUGCUUCUUCUCCGUGUCCAACCUCCGGCGUGAGUGCAGGGAGCUGAGAGCCUCCCGGAAUGUGGCCCGCAGUGCUCGCUCCAUCAGGGCCUUGUGGUACGCUCCCACCACGUUCCCACACAGGAACAACACGGCGUUUGCUGCCAACUGUGGGUAAAGGCCAGACUUGGAGAGCACACCACCCAGCGGGGCUGGGAAGUUUAUCUGUAUCGUUCAAGGUUUCUCUACGUAAAAAUGCUGGCUAUCCUGGAACUCGCUUUGUGAAUCAGGCUGCCUCUGCCCAGUGCCGGGAUUAAAGGCGUAGGUCACCACCCAGUGACUGUUGCAUUUUUACCUGUGGUAGCAGAGCCCUCUGUG
Molecule: long non-coding RNA, 491 nt
Organism: Alexandromys fortis (reed vole)
Lineage: Eukaryota; Metazoa; Chordata; Mammalia; Rodentia; Cricetidae
Exons: 3
Source: RefSeq, a predicted model, not a curated record